UACUGGAAACGGUGGCUAAUACCGCAUAACGUCGCAAGACCAAAGAGGGGGACCUUCGGGCCUCUUGCCAUCAGAUGUGCCCAGAUGGGAUUAGCUUGUUGGUGAGGUAACGGCUCACCAAGGCGACGAUCCCUAGCUGGUCUGAGAGGAUGACCAGCCACACUGGAACUGAGACACGGUCCAGACUCCUACGGGAGGCAGCAGUGGGGAAUAUUGCACAAUGGGCGCAAGCCUGAUGCAGCCAUGCCGCGUGUAUGAAGAAGGCCUUCGGGUUGUAAAGUACUUUCAGCGGGGAGGAAGGUGUUGUGGUUAAUAACCGCAGCAAUUGACGUUACCCGCAGAAGAAGCACCGGCUAACUCCGUGCCAGCAGCCGCGGUAAUACGGAGGGUGCAAGCGUUAAUCGGAAUUACUGGGCGUAAAGCGCACGCAGGCGGUCUGUCAAGUCGGAUGUGAAAUCCCCGGGCUCAACCUGGGAACUGCAUUCGAAACUGGCAGGCUUGAGUCUUGUAGAGGGGGGUAGAAUUCCAGGUGUAGCGGUGAAAUGCGUAGAGAUCUGGAGGAAUACCGGUGGCGAAGGCGGCCCCCUGGACAAAGACUGACGCUCAGGUGCGAAAGCGUGGGGAGCAAACAGGAUUAGAUACCCUGGUAGUCCACGCCGUAAACGAUGUCUACUUGGAGGUUGUGCCCUUGAGGCGUGGCUUCCGGAGCUAACGCGUUAAGUAGACCGCCUGGGGAGUACGGCCGCAAGGUUAAAACUCAAAUGAAUUGACGGGGGCCCGCACAAGCGGUGGAGCAUGUGGUUUAAUUCGAUGCAACGCGAAGAACCUUACCUGGUCUUGACAUCCACAGAAGAAUCCAGAGAUGGAUUGGUGCCUUCGGGAACUGUGAGACAGGUGCUGCAUGGCUGUCGUCAGCUCGUGUUGUGAAAUGUUGGGUUAAGUCCCGCAACGAGCGCAACCCUUAUCCUUUGUUGCCAGCGAUUAGG
This 986-nucleotide ribosomal RNA is filed under the name Salmonella enterica subsp. enterica serovar Typhimurium. RNAcentral describes it as "bacterial SSU rRNA". It matches the Rfam family "Bacterial small subunit ribosomal RNA", at positions 148 to 1129 of the family's 1533-position model. Lineage: Bacteria; Pseudomonadati; Pseudomonadota; Gammaproteobacteria; Enterobacterales; Enterobacteriaceae. The record is from RNAcentral.